Molecule: ribosomal RNA, 768 nt
Filed under: Eochionelasmus coreana
Lineage: Eukaryota; Metazoa; Arthropoda; Thecostraca; Balanomorpha; Pachylasmatidae
Description: partial large subunit ribosomal RNA
Rfam family: Archaeal large subunit ribosomal RNA (bases 359-600)
Source: RNAcentral
UUUAAAAAUUUGUAUAGGGGUGAAAUGUUAAUCGGUUUUAUUGAUAUCUAGUAACUUUUGAAAUAAAUUUAGUUUAAGGCAGUAUAGAAGGUUUUUAUUUUUAAAAUUUUUUUAGAGUGUUUUUAGUUCUCGGGGGAUGAGCUCCGGGAAUAAUAUAUAAGAAUGGAAGUUUGUUGUUUUUUGUUUAGGCUUAGAAUUGGCCAUUAGAUAGUGUUAUAAGAUAGAAGCUUAGGAUUAAGAUUUAAUAUUCUUUUUUUAGAAAGAAGUUAUCCCUGAAAUAAAUUUUGGGGAGAAAAUAUGAUAGCAUUAGUAGAUGGGAUAAAUAAGUGGCUCAUGUUUAAGUCAGUCAUUGAUUAUUUUUCUAAAAAUUAUAGUAAAAGAAUUCGGCAAAUAGGAUUUCCGAAUGUUUAACAAAAACAUUUCUUCUUGACGUAAGAGGUAAGGCCUGCUCACUGAGUUUUAAAGAGCCGCAGUAUUUUGACUGUGCUAAGGUAGCAUAAUCAUUAGUCUUUUAAUUGGGGACUGGUAUGAAUGGCUAAACGAGAGAUCUUCUUUUUUUAUUAUAGGAAUUUAAUUUAACUUUUUAGUGAAAAGACUAAGAUGAUUUAGAAAGACGAGAAGACCCUAUAGAGUUUUGUAUAAUAAAGAAUUUUGUUUUAUUAGUAGUAGACGAAUGAAGUUUGGUUUUAUACUUUGUUGGGGCGACAUUGAGAUACAAGAAACUCUUAAUUUUAAAAACUUUAAUAAAGGAAUUGCUUGACCCUCUAU